This 499-nucleotide ribosomal RNA is filed under the name uncultured bacterium. RNAcentral's name for it is "partial 16S ribosomal RNA". It matches the Rfam family "Bacterial small subunit ribosomal RNA", at positions 28 to 523 of the family's 1533-position model. The record is from RNAcentral.
GGCUAACGCUGGCGGUAUGCCUUAGACAUGCAAGUCGAACGAGUUUCCGGGCUUGCUCGGAGAUUAGUGGCGAACGGCUGAGUAACGCGUAGGUGACCUACCCCGUAGUGUGGAAUAACUGCCCGAAAGGGUAGCUAAUACCGCAUGUUGAGCCGACAUCAAUGUCGUCUCCAAAGCAGAAAUGCGCUAUGGGCGGGGCCUGCGUUCGAUUAGCUAGUUGGUGAGGUAACGGCUCACCAAGGCAACGAUGCAUAGCCGACCUGAGAGGGUGAUCGGCCACACUGGGACUGAGACACGGCCCAGACUCCUACGGGAGGCAGCAGUAGGGAAUCUUCCGCAAUGGACGAAGGUCUGACGGAGCAACGCCGCGUGAGUGAUGAAGGCUUUCGGGUCGUAAAACUCUGUUGUUAGGGAAGAACAAGUACGAGAGUAACUGCUCGUACCUUGACGGUACCUAACCAGAAAGCCACGGCUAACUACGUGCCAGCCGCCGCCGUAA